Molecule: long non-coding RNA, 672 nt
Filed under: Equus caballus (horse)
Lineage: Eukaryota; Metazoa; Chordata; Mammalia; Perissodactyla; Equidae
Description: lncRNA (ENSECAG00000059045.1)
Source: RNAcentral
AACCAGGCAUGGAGUUUAUAGUGAGGACCUGUAGGACGUGGCUUCCUGGGAUGUGCGGGCUGACGGGGCCAGCUGUGACUGAGUGCACAAUUUAAAAGAAGCAUUUCUGUCUCAUUCAUACCAGCAGGGCUCAGCUUGGGGAGAAGAGAAGGCAGAUCAUGGAAAUGACCAGUGCUGGGGACUGACAUGGUGUGGCAGAAGAAUGGAAAGAGGCCCAAACACGUUUUGUGAAAAAUCCUUUUUAAAGCAUACUCCAAAUCAGAAUCUUUUAGGAUGGUGCUCUGAAAUUUGCAUUCCUAAUAAGUACCCUGUUAUUGUGUUUCAGUCUUGCAGUUACUGUCUUUCCACAUGUCUCCAUGUGUAAGAAUUUUUCCAGGUUGGACCCUUGGAAGUAGACUUCCUGACUCAGAAAAUACCUACUCUUUUUGACAAAACCCCACCUAUAGUUAAAUUCAAUUACCUAGCUACUCUGCACAGCACCCACGCAACUGAAUAUGGCUGGAGAAAACACAAGCUUGCUGAACACGAAUUUUAAUGACUACAAAUCCCAGGCAAUAGAAAGUUUCCCAUGGUGGCUGGCAGCUGGUGAAAAGGAUGGAAGAACUUCAGAGAAGAGGAAAUAAGAAUAAUGGCUAAGCAAGAUGGUGGCCAUCAAGGACAAAAGAAAAAAAU